UCCCAGCCUUGGUGGACACGGGUAAGAA
RNAcentral lists this small RNA (28 nucleotides) under Bombyx mori (domestic silkworm). RNAcentral's name for it is "ovarian small RNA-7263". The record is from RNAcentral. Lineage: Eukaryota; Metazoa; Arthropoda; Insecta; Lepidoptera; Bombycidae.